UCGUAAGCUUAUUAAUUUGACCCAAAUUCUCCAUUUUGGUACACGCCAAAGCGUCGAGAGGGAAACAACCCAGAUCGUACGCGAAGGUCCCUAAGCAAUCACUUAGUGGAAAAGGAAGUGAUCGAGCGAUGACAACCAGGAGGUGGGCUUGGAAGCAGCCAUCCUUUGAAGAAAGCGUAAUAGCUCACUGGUCUAGCUCCAUGGCACCGAGGAUCAACUCUACUUAGUCCUGAUGCUCGUUUUGCUUCUUUAUGUUAAACAUAUUUUGUGACCCUCACGCAGGCGUAAUAAUUUUGUGCUAGGUCUCUACACCAUACUAGAGCAUAAUCUUGUGCCAUAUGAGGACCAUUGCAAUUAUUCUGUUGAUUCUACUAUGAAACUCUGUUGAUUCUACUAUGAAACUCUGCCGUACUAUGGUUACCAUAUUAAGGUGAAUCAAGUUUUAAUCUAUCAAAGAUUGCUCAUUAUAAAGUGUCAAAGGGGGGAGUAAGGCAAGA
Non-coding RNA from Nicotiana attenuata, 497 nucleotides. NCBI's taxonomy places the organism in Eukaryota, Viridiplantae, Streptophyta, Magnoliopsida, Solanales, Solanaceae. The record is from Rfam.